UAAAUAAUAGAAAACGGUUAGCGAGAGCUAAAUUGGUUAUGAUCUGUAACGAAUCGUAAAGGGAUCUAUCGAUCCCAGGGAUGUCUUGGUUGUGAAACUGACAAUUGUUUAUCCGAAUCAACCAUUGAAACCGAUCACUAAAAACAACAUACAACGUACGUUUUGUUAUUAAUAAACCCAUUAUACAGCAAUACCCAACAUUACUUGAUUCCAGAAUAAAUUCAAAUUAACGGGAAACGAAUGUUAUGACUUUCAUAUCGUGGUCGUUGGAACGAGUUGGGAGCUUAUAACCAUCUGUAUGAUAUGUUUUGGUAAUAAACCACUCCCACAAACAAGGAAGUGUUUUAUCGUUUCAUUUCUGUGAAACCGAGAGUAAAACCUUCAACAGAGAAAUCGGAUGUCUGAUAUUGAUUGUUGAAGUAUCCAGCAGGAAAGACAUAAUGGGGAAAGAUGACCACCAUGAACCAGUAAAAAAGAGCUACAGAGAUGCUCUUCAAACACAAAUCAACAAAGUGAGGACUUCUGCUAGACCAAAUGCCCCUAAUACUGCCCAGAACAUUCACCUGACAAGACUGAGGAGUAACAUUUGUGACCUGAUGACCCAGCACCCUAACGGGGUAUCGCUUUCCCGGAUGAGACAGGCUUGCCCACUCCUCCUGCAUCCGGAGCUCCUGGAGCCCUACCCCUCAACCAGGCAUCUCCUGGCCUCCCUACCGGAUUUGGUGAGACUUCAAGGGAUUGGGGUACAAACACUGGUGCUCCCAGCACUGGGGCAUGGCCAUGGUGGCAAGGAGAUGGGUGGGGGAGUGAUGGGUGGUGGUGGCAGUCGAUGUCUUGACAGAUGAAAAUACCUUGUGGAUCACAGCGAAAGACUGACUUAAUGAAAAUAAUACCUCAAACCAAGACAGGCAGGCCAAUGUAAUAAGCUCAAAUUCUGUGAGGAUUAAUCGGAGAAACACGCAAUCAACACAUCCUACCAAAAACGUACCAAGAACACACAGGAGGAGACCACCAGUGUGAUGUUUACUUCAGUCUGAAUGAUUAUGAACUUGUACACCAGAUUGGUCGUAUUGAAACAGAUCAAUUUAAAAACAAGUUUACAUUUGUGAUACAACAUGGCAGCUAUAUUGCA
Molecule: long non-coding RNA, 1132 nt
Organism: Esox lucius (northern pike)
Lineage: Eukaryota; Metazoa; Chordata; Actinopteri; Esociformes; Esocidae
Exons: 3
Source: RefSeq, a predicted model, not a curated record